RNAcentral lists this ribosomal RNA (253 nucleotides) under uncultured bacterium. RNAcentral's name for it is "partial 16S ribosomal RNA". It matches the Rfam family "Bacterial small subunit ribosomal RNA", at positions 524 to 776 of the family's 1533-position model. The record is from RNAcentral.
UACGGGGGGGGCAAGCGUUGUUCGGAAUUACUGGGCGUAAAGGGCGUGUAGGCGGCCAACUAAGUCCGACGUGAAAUCCCCAGGCUUAACCUGGGAACUGCGUCGGAUACUGGAUGGCUUGAAUCCGGGAGAGGGAUGCGGAAUUCCAGGUGUAGCGGUGAAAUGCGUAGAUAUCUGGAGGAACACCGGUGGCGAAGGCGGCAUCCUGGACCGGCAUUAACGCUAAAGCGCGAAAGCCAGGGGAGCAAACGGG